This 497-nucleotide ribosomal RNA is filed under the name uncultured bacterium. RNAcentral describes it as "partial 16S ribosomal RNA". It matches the Rfam family "Bacterial small subunit ribosomal RNA", at positions 28 to 507 of the family's 1533-position model. The record is from RNAcentral.
GAUGAACGCUGGCGGCGUGCCUAACACAUGCAAGUCGAGCGAACAGAUGAGGGGUUUUUUCCUCCGAUGUUAGCGACGGACGGGCGAGUAAGAAGCGCGUAACCAACCUAUCAGUCACGGCUAACUACGGCAAACCGGGUCUAAUACCGGCUAUUAUAUGUACCUUGACGGCUUCCUAUUGAAAGACGGUGUUUCUGUCACUUAUGGAUGGAUCCGCGCCGCAUUAGCUAGUUGGUAAGGUAACGGCUUACCAAGGCAACGAUGCGUAGCCGACCUGAGAGGAGGGUCGGGCACCCUGGAACUGAGACGCGGCCCAGACUCCUACGGGAGGCAGCAGUAGAGUAUCUUACGCAAUGGGCGAGAGCCUGACGGGGCAACGCCGCGUGGGUGAUAGGAGUCUUCGGAUCGUAGAUCUCUGUUGCUAGGAUGGGACAAUUGUGUGGGUAACGAGGCACGUCUUGACGGUACCGAAUCAAAAAGCCCCGGCUAACUACGUG